This 253-nucleotide unclassified non-coding RNA is filed under the name uncultured Planctomycetia bacterium. Its description in RNAcentral is "contains 16S-23S intergenic spacer region". It matches the Rfam family "Bacterial small subunit ribosomal RNA", at positions 524 to 776 of the family's 1533-position model. The record is from RNAcentral. Lineage: Bacteria; Pseudomonadati; Planctomycetota; Planctomycetia.
GACGAACCGUGCGAACGUUGUUCGGAAUCACUGGGCUUAAAGGGCGCGUAGGCGGUCAAUCAAGUCGGGGGUGAAAUCUUGCAGCUUAACUGUAAAAGUGCCUUCGAUACUGACUGACUCGAGGGAGGUAGGGGCAGGUGGAACUUCCAGUGGAGCGGUGAAAUGUGUUGAUAUUGGAAGGAACGCCGGUGGCGAAAGCGACCUGCUGGAUCUCUACUGACGCUGAGGCGCGAAAGCUAGGGUAGCGAACGGG